AAGUCGUAACAAGGUAACCGUAGGUGAACCUGCGGUUGGAUCAUUAUCACGUAUCCACGUUAUCAACCAACGCGAACUCUUUCCGGCUAGUAACCUCGGUGAACGCCUUUUCCGAUUUCUUCGAAUUAAUUUUCGUUGAAAUCGGAAUAAACUUUGAUUAACUAUCAACCCCCUUUAUACAUUAUUGUACUGAACUGUUUCUUCCUCUGCCUUCACUGCGCGGAGAAGAAAUCAAAUUACGAAACAAAGAACAACUCUUAGCAACGGAUAUCUUGGUUCUC
This 281-nucleotide unclassified non-coding RNA is filed under the name fungal sp. RNAcentral describes it as "partial internal transcribed spacer region". The stretch from base 1 to 46 matches the Rfam family "Eukaryotic small subunit ribosomal RNA", at positions 1786 to 1831 of the family's 1831-position model. Lineage: Eukaryota; Fungi. The record is from RNAcentral.